This 252-nucleotide ribosomal RNA is filed under the name uncultured bacterium. Its description in RNAcentral is "partial 16S ribosomal RNA". It matches the Rfam family "Bacterial small subunit ribosomal RNA", at positions 524 to 776 of the family's 1533-position model. The record is from RNAcentral.
UACGUAGGGGGCAAGCGUUGUCCGGAAUUAUUGGGCGUAAAGCGCGCGCAGGCGGCGAUUUAAGUCUGGUGUUUAAACCUUGGGCUCAACCUGGGGUCGCACUGGAAACUGGGUCGCUUGAGUACAGAAGAGGAAAGUGGAAUUCCACGUGUAGCGGUGAAAUGCGUAGAGAUCCGGAGGAACACCAGAGGCGAAGGCGGCCUACUGGGCUGCACCUGACGCUGAGCCGCGAAAGCCAGGGGAGCGAACGGG